UAGGAGGAAAAAUAGCCGCUCUGUUCAUCUAUGUGACAACCUGGAUGUUGCAAUACGUCACUCAACUUCUCUCCCAUUGUUUGUUGAAUUAAGUUUUCAUUAUUCUAGUAAUUGGAGGAAGUUUCAUACAUUUAACAAAAUUAUUUUCUCAUUUAACAAACAGGAUGAAUUUAUUACAAAUAAUAUUACCUCUUUUCUUAGGAUUAAUUAAAUUAUUUCUCCUUCGAUUUCUUAACGAUAAUUUGAAAGGAGGCAACUGGAAGUUCGCAUUUUGCUAAAAAGCAUAUUUGGAACAAAAUACUCAAGCCACCCACCAAGAAGAGCUUCUAUAGCAAAUAGAACUUCCAAUAGCAACUAUUUUAUUUAUAUAAACAGUAUGAAAUAGUGUUAAGUAGAUUAUUCAAGAAUAAAAGAUGCAAAGCUCACUGCAAGUAUUGAUGAUAUUUUAUGAAUGAAAACAAUUUUCUAAACUAUUAUCGCAAAUAAAGGCGUUUCACUGGUAAAAAUAA
Parasteatoda tepidariorum (common house spider) is the source of this 509-nucleotide long non-coding RNA. Lineage: Eukaryota; Metazoa; Arthropoda; Arachnida; Araneae; Theridiidae. The record is from RefSeq and is a predicted model, not a curated record.